UCACAUUCUUCUCUUCCUCUAACAUCUCUGCUCUGAAAGAAUCAGAUACAACCACAGUCUUCAAAACCUACAUCUCUGCAGACUCAGCUGCUGUCUGAUGCUGAGAUUAUAGAGCAUUCACCUCUGCUCUGCUCUGAGUGAACAGCAUCAUCAGAUGAGAUGCAUUCAAUUGUUUUAUCAAACAACAAAGAUGACUUUUGUGAUUGGUCAUAUUCUUCUCAGCCACCACCCCCACAAAAAUAAACACUCACCCGCACAUGAUGUAUCUCAGAAGAGGCAUAUCACACAUCUAGUAUUAUUAUCAGUAUAUCAACAUUGCUGAAGAAAAAGAAAAAGAAAACAAGAAUUAAAGAGAAUUACUCACAGAUUUACAGAAUUUCUCUGCAGAAACACAAGUCUUACAACACUUUCAGAUAUUUGAUUUCAACACACAUCAAAAAUCAAUGUUCUCAAGUCUAGAAACACAAUGUUCACAAGGAAUUCAACUGUUGUGUGUCACAUGAUUAGAACUAAAUCUAGAGCAAUAUAACAAGCAAACAGCAAAUGGUGCUAUACAGAAAUGAGCUAGUGGCACAUGUGACCACACUAAUAACAUCACUGACAAGGAACACCAACAAUAAUACAUGAUAAGCACUCAAGAAACAACUUACUUAAAAUUGAGAUAAUCAAAAAAGCCCAUUUCAAUAAAAAAGAAGAGGGGAGAAAGAAUGAUGAUAUAAAAAAUUUAAAAAUUUUUGGGAAUGAGAAAUCAUGGCAGAAAGGUAAGAAGCUUUGAUGAUGGUCAAGUUAAAAGAGAAAAGAAAUCUUCAAGAAGAAAGAAAUUCUUUUUGCUUCUCUGCAUACAACCUCUAGCAAUCAAAGAAUCCACCAAUUCCAUCUCAUUAAGAAAUUGAUAACAAUGUGUAUACAAGCUAUCUAGAGGACACGAAUACAAGCUAUCUAGAGAACAUGAUCAAUAUACUGCUAUCAACAAGUGGAACUUACAAUACAGAAAUGCAAUUAUCUACUAGCAAGCAAUCUAUACAAUUGCUGAGAGCAGCUCUUAUAAAAAAGAGGGGCAAUUGUAAUGCACUCAUUUAUUAUUUCCUUAUUAUCUUUGCUUAUUCUUACCUCUUUCCAUUAUACUCUCACUACCGCUAUUUCUAUAUGUAUAUAUAUAUAUCGAU
Molecule: small RNA, 1166 nt
Filed under: Histoplasma ohiense
Lineage: Eukaryota; Fungi; Ascomycota; Eurotiomycetes; Onygenales; Ajellomycetaceae
Description: hypothetical lncRNA
Source: RNAcentral